Molecule: ribosomal RNA, 385 nt
Filed under: Pseudomonas savastanoi
Lineage: Bacteria; Pseudomonadati; Pseudomonadota; Gammaproteobacteria; Pseudomonadales; Pseudomonadaceae
Description: bacterial SSU rRNA
Rfam family: Bacterial small subunit ribosomal RNA
Source: RNAcentral
CGGGUAUUUUACUUGGUGGCGACCGGCGGACGGGUGAGUAAUGCCUAGGAAUCUCCCUGGUAGUGGGGGAUAACGCUCGGAAACGGACGCUAAUACCGCAUACGUCCUACGGGAGAAAGCAGGGGACCUUCGGGCCUUGCGCUAUCAGAUGAGCCUAGGUCGGAUUAGCUAGUUGGUGAGGUAAUGGCUCACCAAGGCGACGAUCCGUAACUGGUCUGAGAGGAUGAUCAGUCACACUGGAACUGAGACACGGUCCAGACUCCUACGGGAGGCAGCAGUGGGGAAUAUUGGACAAUGGGCGAAAGCCUGAUCCAGCCAUGCCGCGUGUGUGAAGAAGGUCUUCGGAUUGUAAAGCACUUUAAGUUGGGAGGAAGGGCAGUUACCU